RNAcentral lists this long non-coding RNA (521 nucleotides) under Rattus norvegicus (Norway rat). RNAcentral's name for it is "long non-coding RNA NONRATT013033". The record is from RNAcentral. Lineage: Eukaryota; Metazoa; Chordata; Mammalia; Rodentia; Muridae.
UCAGCCUUCAUAAAACAUCAGAGCAUACAUACAGGUGAAAAGCCAUGUGAGUGUGAUACAUGUGGGAAAGCCUUCUAUGUGAACUCAGCGAUUAUUAAUCACCAGAGGGUUCAUUCUGGAGAAAAGCUGUAUGAGUGUGGGGAAUGUGGAAAAGCAUUCAGUUGGAGUCGAAUGGAGUCAUCACCAGAGAAUCGGUACUGGAGAAAAACCCUAUGAGUGUGAUGACUGUGGGAAAGCUGAAGAUGCCCUAAUCUUACCAAACACCAGAAAGGACAUGCCAAGAGAAAGUGUCGACAGUGAUGUACCUGAGGAAGGUAUUCUAGAUGUCUUUGGUUGCAUCAAAAGAAUAUGACAAAAUAUAUCAACAUGCCUUCCCUUGAAAUACUGAAGAAAAGUCACUGGAAACAGCUCUAUCAUUGUAUGCAAACCUCUGAAGUCACCUGUUCUCUCUCUUUAAAAUUCAGCUUUACAACUCAAGGUGGUUUUUGUUUUUUGUUUUUUUUAAUAUGAAUCAUUUUCCA